This 891-nucleotide ribosomal RNA is filed under the name Triticum aestivum (bread wheat). RNAcentral describes it as "partial small subunit ribosomal RNA". The record is from RNAcentral. Lineage: Eukaryota; Viridiplantae; Streptophyta; Magnoliopsida; Poales; Poaceae.
AUGGCGCAGUGGAACGGCAUAGAGCAGGCAGCGACUAUCACGCAGCUGGUGGGAGUGGAUGCGUUGGGGCUCAUCUCGACGAUUGUACAGGCAGCACAGACAGUUCAGCGCAACAAGGAGACCUGCCAGGAGCUCGUGCAGGAUGUGCAGUUGAUAAAUGGCCUGCUAUGGAUGCUGCAAAACCCAGAAAUUAUGCAGCGAGAAGAGAUUGUAAAUGCACUCAAUGGACUGGAGGGGACGCUUCGGGAGGCGUACAGCCUCGUCAGCUCCUGCCAGGACUGCAGCACCACAUAUCGCAUAUUCAUGGGAUGGAAACACACUGACCAGUUCCGACGCGUGAAGAAGAAGAUUGCCAAGCACCUCCGCUUCUACCCCAUGAUCUUCCAUGCUGACAUAACUUGUCGUCUCGAAAGAAUAAGCAACGGCACGCUGUCGACGUGCUCAUCUCAGGAUGCAGGAGGAGUGCUGACAUCAUCUACCAGACACUCAAACUCUGAAGCUCGGACUGAAUGUAGUUUGUGGCCUGUUGAAUUAGAAAAAUCGCAGGCAUGCAGGAGCGCUGAGUCUAUUGCAGUUGAGGAACACCAGCUAACAAGUUACCAGGAAAUUGCUGAACCUUUUGCUAGGAAGCAGAGGUUCCGGUGGGGUCACUGUUUGCCCUGGAAAACGGUAGAAACAGCUCCUUGUAUUCAUGAACUCAACGGACCAGGGUUUUCAGGUUUCCAUUUCUCCCAAUUGUUGGUUGCUACAAAUAAUUUUGCAUUCCAAUGCAAAAUUAGAAGUUGUGGAUACGCUGAUGUGUAUAAGGGACGAUUGGACAGUGGACUUGAAGUCAUGAUCAGAAGAUUUCAUCAAAAUAACUCCCAUUCUUCACUCACAUUUGAAAAUUAA